Molecule: ribosomal RNA, 540 nt
Filed under: uncultured marine eukaryote
Lineage: Eukaryota
Description: SSU rRNA
Rfam family: Eukaryotic small subunit ribosomal RNA
Source: RNAcentral
AAAAGCUCGUAGUUGGAUUUUGGUUAAGAGGGCGCGGUCGGCCGUUUGGUCUGUACUGCGUUGUCUUGACUUCCUGAUGAGGACAUGCUCUUGGUUAACGCUGAGACAUGGAGUCAUCGUGGUUACUUUGAAAAAAUUAGAGUGUUCAAAGCGGGCUUACGCUUGAAUAUAUUAGCAUGGAAUAACACUAUAGGACUCCUGUCCUAUCUCGUUGGUCUCGGGAUGGGAGUAAUGAUUAAGAGGAACAGUUGGGGGCAUUCGUAUUUCAUUGUCAGAGGUGAAAUUCUUGGAUUUAUGAAAGACGAACUUCUGCGAAAGCAUUUGCCAAGGAUGUUUUCAUUAAUCAAGAACGAAAGUUGGGGGCUCGAAGAUGAUUAGAUACCAUCCUAGUCUCAACCAUAAACGAUGCCGACUAGGGAUUGGUGGAUGUUAAUUGAUGACUUCACCAGCACCUUAUGAGAAAUCAAAGUUUUUGGGUUCCGGGGGGAGUAUGGUCGCAAGGCUGAAACUUAAAGGAAUUGACGGAAGGGCACCACCAGG